This 618-nucleotide ribosomal RNA is filed under the name Miriquidica leucophaea. Its description in RNAcentral is "eukaryotic LSU rRNA". It matches the Rfam family "Eukaryotic large subunit ribosomal RNA", at positions 302 to 939 of the family's 3401-position model. Lineage: Eukaryota; Fungi; Ascomycota; Lecanoromycetes; Lecanorales; Lecanoraceae. The record is from RNAcentral.
AAUUYCAUCUAAAGCUAAAUACCGGCCAGAGACCGAUAGCGCACAAGUAGAGUGAUCGAAAGAUGAAAAGCACUUUGGAAAGAGAGUUAAACAGUACGUGAAAUUGUUGAAAGGGAAGCGCUUGCGACCAGACUUGCCCGCGGGUGAUCAGCCCCCCUUYGGGGBGGUGCACUCDCCCGCGGUCAGGCCAGCAUCGGUUUCGGCGGCCGGACAAAGUCCCCGGGAAHGUGGCUCCCUCCGGGGAGUGUUAUAGCCCGGGGUGCAAUGCGGCCAGCCGGGACCGAGGACCGCGCUUCGGCUAGGAUGCUGGCGUAAUGGUCGUAAGCGACCCGUCUUGAAACACGGACCAAGGAGUCUAACAUCCAUGCGAGUGUUUGGGUGUCAAACCCMUGCGCGGAAUGAAAGUGAACGGAGGUGGGAACCCCUUCCGGGGCGCACCAUCGACCGAUCCUGAUGUCUUCGGAUGGAUUUGAGUARGAGCAUGGCUGUUGGGACCCGAAAGAUGGUGAACUAUGCCUGAAUAGGGUGAAGCCAGAGGAAACUCUGGUGGAGGCUCGCAGCGGUNCUGACGUGCAAAUCGAUCGUCAAAUUUGGGUAUAGGGGCGAAAGACUAUCAAA